UACAGAGGGUGCGAGCGUUACUCGGAAUUACUGGGCGUAAAGCGCACGUAGGCGGGGAUGUAAGUCGGGGGUGAAAUCCCAGGGCUCAACCCUGGAACUGCCUUCUAGACUGCAGGCCUCGAGGGCAGGAGAGGCGAGUGGAAUACCGAGUGUAGAGGUGAAAUUCGUAGAUAUUCGGUGGAACACCAGUGGCGAAGGCGACUCGCUGGACUGAUACUGACGCUGAGGUGCGAAAGCGUGGGGAGCAAACAGG
Molecule: ribosomal RNA, 253 nt
Filed under: uncultured bacterium
Lineage: Bacteria
Description: partial 16S ribosomal RNA
Rfam family: Bacterial small subunit ribosomal RNA
Source: RNAcentral